This 428-nucleotide ribosomal RNA is filed under the name uncultured bacterium. Its description in RNAcentral is "bacterial SSU rRNA". It matches the Rfam family "Bacterial small subunit ribosomal RNA", at positions 29 to 506 of the family's 1533-position model. The record is from RNAcentral.
AUGAACGUUGGCGGCGCGUCUAAUACAUGCAAGUCGAGUGGGUUUAGGCCCACGGCGGACGGCUGAGUAACACGUUGGUAACUGCCCCAUACUCAGGGAUAACCCUUCGAAAGAAGGGCUAAUACCGGAUAGUCCCGCAAGGGUAAAGAUUUAUCGGUAUGGGAGGUGCCUGCGUCCUAUCAGCUUGUUGGUGAGGUAAUGGCUCACCAAGGCUAUGACGGGUAACUGGUCUGAGAGGAUGGCCAGUCAGAGGGAAACUGAGACACGGUUCCCACUCCUACGGGAGGCAGCAGUAAAGAAUCUUCCGCAAUGGACGAAAGUCUGACGGAGCGACGCCGCGUGCAGGAUGAAGGCCUUCGGGUUGUAAACUGCUUUUUUGGGGGAAUAAUUUUGAAUGUACCCCAAGAAUAAGCACCGGCAAAUCACGU